RNAcentral lists this ribosomal RNA (468 nucleotides) under uncultured bacterium. RNAcentral's name for it is "partial 16S ribosomal RNA". It matches the Rfam family "Bacterial small subunit ribosomal RNA", at positions 28 to 507 of the family's 1533-position model. The record is from RNAcentral.
GACGAACGCUGGCGGCGUGCUUAACACAUGCAAGUCGAACGGAAAGGCCCUGCUUUUGUGGGGUGCUCGAGUGGCGAACGGGUGAGUAACACGUGAGUAACCUGCCCUUGACUUUGGGAUAACUUCAGGAAACUGGGGCUAAUACCGGAUAGGAGCUCCUGCUGCAUGGUGGGGGUUGGAAAGUUUCGGCGGUUGGGGAUGGACUCGCGGCUUAUGAGCUUGUUGGUGGGGUAGUGGCUUACCAAGGCUUUGACGGGUAGCCGGCCUGAGAGGGUGACCGGCCACAUUGGGACUGAGAUACGGCCCAGACUCCUACGGGAGGCAGCAGUGGGGAAUAUUACACAAUGGGCGGAAGCCUGAUGCAGCAACGCCGCGUGCGGGAUGACGGCCUUCGGGUUGUAAACCGCUUUCGCCUGUGACGAAGCGUGAGUGACGGUAAUGGGUAAAGAAGCACCGGCUAACUACGUG